Long non-coding RNA from Pangasianodon hypophthalmus (striped catfish), 931 nucleotides. RefSeq lists it as uncharacterized. The record is from RefSeq and is a predicted model, not a curated record. NCBI's taxonomy places the organism in Eukaryota, Metazoa, Chordata, Actinopteri, Siluriformes, Pangasiidae. The transcript is spliced from 2 exons.
UAGUCGUUGUGUAUUAUUUUCUGUUUAAUUACAUGAAUACAUCAUUUUGUUUGUCAUUGUCAGAGCUUGUCAUCACACAUGGGAAUUUUUCAUAUUUAUUUCUACCCUGAGUUUUUUUUUUUUUUUAAAUCUGUAAUAAUGCAUGAAAUAUGCAUGCAAUGUUAAAAAAUGCAUUUUUGUUAAAAAGUGAAAAUGCUACCCGUAUUCACAGGAGCACACGGUCCGAUUUCUUUUUAAGACAGACAGGAACAUGGGCAGGAUGUUUAUACUGUCAAAUGUAAACAUUUUCUCUGGCCUUCUUUAAAUAAAAAAUCAAGCAAAAAGCCCCACAAGAGCUGCUAAUACCCAUUCUGAGGCUAUGCGUCCGUUUUAUGCGGCGCAAACUAUUAGUGAAUCUUAGUUUUAACAUAAAUGUAGAGAUGAAGCCGUACACAGUUCUGACUGAAGGACUUUUUUAAAAAGCUGGGACUCAGAUCUGCACUUGCUUCCAGAAACUUUGCUAUAUGAAGACGGCUAAUCGGUCUAAUGAUCUCUUGCUGCUUCUCAGACCUGAUCCUGAUCCAGAGAUGGAAGGAAGUGCAGGUAUGUGAAGUACCAGCACCAGGUUACAGCAUCAGGUCACGCUUCGGACCAUUGACCCUUGAUCCCAGCGUCUGUUUAUAUCUUGUGAUUGAUUGGAUAAAUAGUGAUGAGUCAUAUCCCCAAGUGUGUUUAUAUUACAGAGUCACGCAAGGAAGGAAAAGAGCUAUGACCUGCUAAAAGCCAGUGGGAGAGAGAAGGAGGGUGAGGUUAUUAAAUGCUACCUGUUAAUGUCAGUGUUAAUGUUUUUACACCAUUUACAUAAUGAUAAAUAUGUUAUUGCAUUAGAAGGAAAUAUGUAACCAAAAUUGUUCCGAUGUUGAUUUCUCCAAAUAAAUCUCCUUUGCAUAUC